RNAcentral lists this ribosomal RNA (253 nucleotides) under uncultured bacterium. RNAcentral describes it as "partial 16S ribosomal RNA". It matches the Rfam family "Bacterial small subunit ribosomal RNA", at positions 524 to 776 of the family's 1533-position model. The record is from RNAcentral.
UACGGAGGAUCCAAGCGUUAUCCGGAUUCAUUGGGCGUAAAGAGCGCGUAGGCGGCUUGUUAAGCGAGGUGUGAAAUCCGGGGGCUCAACCCGCGGCUUGCAUCUCGAACUGGCAGGCUUGAGUCUGGUAGAGGAAAGUGGAAUUCCCAGUGUAGCGGUGAAAUGCGCAGAUAUUGGGAGGAACACCAGUGGCGAAGGCGGCUUUCUGGGCCACGACUGACGCUGAGGCGCGAAAGCUAGGGGAGCAAACAGG